This is a non-coding RNA of Punica granatum (pomegranate), 1426 nucleotides long. NCBI's taxonomy places the organism in Eukaryota, Viridiplantae, Streptophyta, Magnoliopsida, Myrtales, Lythraceae. The record is from RefSeq and is a predicted model, not a curated record.
GAGUUGAUUAGAUUGAACCAUCGGACUCUGUUAUUCUUCUUCUUCCGUGUGUUUUGUUUUAUUCCAUUUCUUUUGGCGCAAGCAGCACCUAAUUAUUCCAGGUACCGUCAAUUUUGUGGUUCCCUGGCAAUUCCGAUCUCAUCCACUGCUUCCUUCAAGGUCCAGUCCUCUGGCAUCCAUGCCCGAGCUGCUACGGAGGAGACCCCCCACGAUUUUAUUGUUAAGAAUAUUGACAGGAAGGAUGUUCCUCUCAGCAAAUUUAUUUCUGCUCCAAAAGAGUGUUUAUCAAUAGGAAUGUGAGAAUCUUAUUGACCGGUUAUGUUUUGACGCACUGGUUUGACUUCAUCAAAUUAAACUACGCUCCGCCGGCACUUGUAUGAGAGGCACAAGACUGAUUCAAGGUGAGUGAAAUUUGUGCUAUGUGGUUGUUGAUUUGGUGCCUUUAGUGAAAUCUUCAUAUAUACCGUUUGAAGAGGGAGAUUCAUGAAGCUCUUCGGUGUUGGUUUUUAGUUUGGCGAUUCAGUAUUCUACAUAAGGAAUAACAUUCAAGAAUAAUUUAUGACAUUUUCAUUUUUCAUGAAAUUAAGAUUGUGCCUUUUAUUUUUCCGAAGACUUUCCAGAAGUUGUCUUUGUUUUAUUUGAAGUAGUACUACUUGGCCUAAAAUCCAAAUUUGUUGAUAUAUAUAUAUAUUUUCACUGCUUGAGAUGAAUUUUAUUGGACACGUAGUUGGUUUACAAUCGUGAUGCUGAGAAUUUUAGUGUGAAAGUAAGGAGUGACUGACUUCAUCUCAAACGGCUAUACCUGCAUGCCCGUCGAAGUCAUAAGCGACUUUGUGUUGUACAAUAGAAACUACUACAGGCAAACAGCAUAUCGUGGACUCUUUAUCCUCAAUUGAGCAGUUGAGUCUGCGCUGCAAGGUCUGAUCUUCCAUUCUCUGUCACUUAGAUUGAAAUUUUUGUUUCAUAUGUCCAUCUUUGCUGCAUUAUCUCUACUGGUUAGCCUCCAUCCAAUAAAAGUUGGAAAGUGUUAUUACUCCAGCUAAAAUUAUAUUUUCUUGUACUUCACUCAUGUUAUUUUAAUACUAAUGAUGUCUUUUACUUUUCAAACCUACAGGAUCAAAACUGAGUAGUGACAACUCGAUCUUCUGCCGUUCUUAGUGUAACGAGCUGAUAUACCCUUUGACAACAAGUCGAUCUUCUGUCUUUUAAGGUGCACGUUCACAAAAAGAUCAUUUUUUGUUCAUCCUUAUAGGGGAUAACUAUUUUUUGUUUAAGCUCAGUAGAAAGUCUUUUGGGUUUUACUUGGGCAAUAGCUGAAACAUCCAUGUUUUUUGGCGUGCUUGCAAAGGAGGGAAAUAUAUCUGUCAUGACCAUUUAUGUGAUUCAAAUUUAUGUGGAAUGACCAUUCACUGACUUUCACCGAUAA